AGCUUCCCCUCAGAAGCUAUAUCCACAGUCUCCCUAGAAAACUUCCCCUGUUUGGAGUUUAAGGAUUUCUUGGCCCAGAAAUCCAGCUCUUGAAGUUCCUCUUAGAUGGCUCACUUCUCAACCCCCUUCGUCUCCUUUCUCAGCAAAAGACUGAUCGGUCUUCUGGAAUUUUCCUCCCACCCUUCUGGCUUCUCCUUCUCCUGCAGAGUGACGCAGGACAACCUCCUUCAGAGCUCCUGCUACUGCCGCCAUUCUGUCACUUUAGGUUCAGAGGCUAUUUCUGUAAGCUGCAUCAGCUGGACCUGGACCAUAUGGCAGAGGCAGCAUCUAUGCUUGAUGAUUCAAUUGACCCGGUGGAUGACGAGAUCGUUUUAAAAGCCCUUUGUAUCCUCACAGGUCAUUUGUCUAUAUCAGAUGCAAAAGGAAGCGCUGCAGCCACCUCAAAUCGCCCUGGAAUGCUCUCCCAAAUGGGCCAGACUCCAUGUUUUGUCAACGAAAAUUGAACAUUACCUGGUAAAGUUCUUCCUAAACCAUGGGUCCAGAUGUCUGCUUGACAAAUGUCCCUUAUGCUUGUUUCAAUUUAAAGAGUGUGGUUAAAAGACCUUGGCAUGAUUUGUUUUUAGUUGGGCAUAUUGGUAGCAUAGAGGGAAGGGGGCAGAAAUUAUAUGGCAAUUUAAAACAUAACAGAUUUUGCUUGGCACUCCUUAGUGGGAAUGUGAAAUCAAAUACGGUAGCAAAGGCAUCUGUCAAGGGCAACUUGCUCUGAUGUCCAAGAGAACCUCCUUAAAAACCUAUAAGUCAUUGAAGUAAGAAAUAAAUGGCAUUUUCAUUCCUUCCACUCCUCAUGUCUUGGGGAUAUAAGAUACAAGGAAUGAGAUCUUGACUUGUAAAUCAUGGUGACCGGCUGUUAAGUCUACGACAAGGCACCUAGGUUAGCCUGCGUGUUCCGCUUAGUUCAUUUCUAGUUUUCUCUCUCCCCACUCUCUCUCACCUCUCAGACUUCUCAACCCCCACAGGCUUGUUAUGCACCUUCAUUUAUCUUGGUAAGGAAGACAUAAUGGAAAAUGGUUAAGGCUUGAAGGAAUUGCAAAGAAAUGGUCAUCUGAAAGAUUAAACAUGG
Molecule: long non-coding RNA, 1120 nt
Filed under: Aotus nancymaae (Ma's night monkey)
Lineage: Eukaryota; Metazoa; Chordata; Mammalia; Primates; Aotidae
Description: lncRNA (ENSANAG00000039159.1)
Source: RNAcentral